GACGAACGCUGGCGGCGUGCUUAACACAUGCAAGUCGAACGGAAAGGCCCUGCUUUUGUGGGGUGCUCGAGUGGCGAACGGGUGAGUAACACGUGAGUAACCUGCCCUUGACUUUGGGAUAACUUCAGGAAACUGGGGCUAAUACCGGAUAGGAGCUCCUGCUGCAUGGUGGGGGUUGGAAAGUUUCGGCGGUUGGGGAUGGACUCGCGGCUUAUCAGCUUGUUGGUGGGGUAGUGGCUUACCAAGGCUUUGACGGGUAGCCGGCCUGAGAGGGUGACCGGCCACAUUGGGACUGAGAUACGGCCCAGACUGCUACGGGAGGCAGCAGUGGAGAAUAUUGCACAAUGGGCGGAAGCCUGAUGCAGCAACGCCGCGUGCGGGAUGACGGCCUUCGGGUUGUAAACCGCUUUCGCCUGUGACGAAGCGUGAGUGACGGUAAUGGGGAAAGAAGCACCGGCUAACUACGU
RNAcentral lists this ribosomal RNA (467 nucleotides) under uncultured bacterium. Its description in RNAcentral is "partial 16S ribosomal RNA". It matches the Rfam family "Bacterial small subunit ribosomal RNA", at positions 28 to 506 of the family's 1533-position model. The record is from RNAcentral.